UCAUGGUAGGAGGAGGAGGUAUCACGACUGCGGUUUUCACGAUAUUUCAAAUAUUGGGAAGUUUUCCAUAUUUGUCCGACACUCACUAGAGGGUCAUGUUACUUUUGACAUCAAUUGUGCGUACUGAACAUUUUAAGGCACGACAACAUCCAUAUUUGCUCUCUAGUUAGAGUACACAAAGCGGGUAGCUAAAUCAUUUUGUGUUUAUGUCACGUUUCAGUUUCAUAAGGGAAGUACUUUCAAUUGUGCUUAUGUUAACUUUAUGCCAUUUCUCCAACAUUUCAUGACAUUGUUGUAUUGCAUUGGAGAACCGAAUGUUGCUCUUGUCACCAGUGUGCAUCGUUUAAUGUGCAUACUCUUGAUGUGGUAUAUGGUGCUUUUUGGGUCAACAAAAUCAACUCCUACAUACUAAAGGUCUGGAAUAUACUGUGCUGAUAGAUACACUAGUAGAGAAUCGAUCUUCCAUCCAGCAUAAUAUGUCUCGGUCAUUUUUGAACCUGGGACUAAAGGAGCUUUAGUCCCGGGUCAAACGGCCACCACAGACGGC
This 547-nucleotide long non-coding RNA is filed under the name Setaria viridis. RNAcentral describes it as "long non-coding RNA (SVIR_LNC008116)". Lineage: Eukaryota; Viridiplantae; Streptophyta; Magnoliopsida; Poales; Poaceae. The record is from RNAcentral.